RNAcentral lists this transfer RNA (82 nucleotides) under Cronartium comandrae C4. RNAcentral's name for it is "tRNA-Und (NNN) (tRNA-Und-NNN-14-1)". It matches the Rfam family "tRNA". Rfam says of the family: Transfer RNA (tRNA) molecules are approximately 80 nucleotides in length. Their secondary structure includes four short double-helical elements and three loops (D, anti-codon, and T loops). Further hydrogen bonds mediate the characteristic L-shaped molecular structure. tRNAs have two regions of fundamental functional importance: the anti-codon, which is responsible for specific mRNA codon recognition, and the 3' end, to which the tRNAs corresponding amino acid is attached (by aminoacyl-tRNA synthetases). tRNAs cope with the degeneracy of the genetic code in two manners: having more than one tRNA (with a specific anti-codon) for a particular amino acid; and 'wobble' base-pairing, i.e. permitting non-standard base-pairing at the 3rd anti-codon position. The record is from RNAcentral. Lineage: Eukaryota; Fungi; Basidiomycota; Pucciniomycetes; Pucciniales; Coleosporiaceae.
UACUAGAUAGCCUAGCGGUUAAGGCAUCACAUAUGAGUUGUGUCCCACUUAAGGGCCCUUGGUUCAAAUCCGAGUCUAGUCA